ACUUCUGAAUUUUUAGUUUUUCUUGUGUUCUAGGAAUCUCUGCUUCAUCCACAGUUGUUGCUGCCUUCGCCUGGAGUUAUAGAACCUCGAUCUCCAAUUCUCAAAAUAGAAUCGGACAAAGGGACAAACUUUUCACCUGUUCCCCCCCUUCUUGAAGUUCCUGGAACUCCUGGAACAGUUCACCUGGGUCCUGGAGUACUUCACAACAUUCCUGGAGUUGAAAUGCGCGAAAAUCUCGCAAUCUAAUUUAGUUCCUAUUUUGCCCGCUAGAGCUACAGGAGGCGCUGUAAGCUCAUCUCUACAGAAAAAUCCGUUCUUUUCUAGCCAAGAUGUUCGUCUUUCCACGGAAGUUACCGCUGCGCAAGAUGGCGAUAAUUUUUAUGUUUCUUUCGCGGGAGGAAAAGGGAAAAAGUUUCUAGAGAAAAAGAGAAAUAACAGUUAUUAGAAAUAAAUUGGGAGUAUAAGAUGUUGGGUUUGCAUAUCAAUUCGGGAUUAUCAUCUAGCUCCAGUUCUGAUCAAAAGGACUACAAUGGGAUUAUGUUAUAAGCACCUUGGAGAUCGCACAAUAUAAAUUUGUUUUAGAAAAGAUCUAAAAACUUUUUUUUCCUUUUCCCUGACACGAAAUUUAGUCUAAGAAAUGUUAUAGGGAAAUUAGUUGAAAUUUUUAACCUAAGAAAUUUUACAGGGAAUAUGAAAUUUGAAAUUCUUCAAGAGUUUGUCACUUUUGAAAAUCUCAUCUUUUUAUUGUUUUAUAUCAAGAAUUUUUUAUAAAUAGUAUUCUCUUAAAUUAAGUCAAUGAGGAAAGACCGAAUUGCCAAAUAAUUUGUGUGAUUUAUGCCAUGUAUUAAUGUGAACCCAUUUUGCCAUUUAUUAUAUUUAUUCUCUAAAAAAAUGCAUUAUAAUCUAUUUUUGACAACCUAACAGUUGAGAAACUUUUUUUUACAGUUUAUGAGUUUGUUUAUCUUAAACACAAAUACAAAUAUGUCAAAACUGUACAAUUUUUUAUAUUCUUGUUUUCGUCUAAGUUGAUUUGAUUUGAUAUAAUUAUUAAGAUCUGAAAGUUUCCAUAAUCUUAUCGCUUGUACUAUACUAAACGUAGAGGCAAAAGAACUUAUCAUUAUUAAUCUAUAUUAUUAGAUUACUUAAGAUGGAGAAUGAAAUCCUUGUAAUGUCAGAAAAACGAGCUUCCAUCACUGUUAGGCUCCAUACACAACACAUCCCAGUGCAAUAUAUUAAUUAACAAUGGAUUAAAAACCAAAUAAAGCUGUGUAUAGUGAGCGGG
This is a long non-coding RNA of Eurytemora carolleeae, 1282 nucleotides long. RefSeq lists it as uncharacterized. The transcript is spliced from 2 exons. NCBI's taxonomy places the organism in Eukaryota, Metazoa, Arthropoda, Copepoda, Calanoida, Temoridae. The record is from RefSeq and is a predicted model, not a curated record.